AGGGAAUCCGGUGGGAAACCGGAGCGGUCGCGCCACUGUGACCGGUCGUCGAAGACGACCGGGAGCCAGACCU
This 73-nucleotide non-coding RNA is filed under the name Actinokineospora spheciospongiae. The record is from RNAcentral. Lineage: Bacteria; Bacillati; Actinomycetota; Actinomycetes; Pseudonocardiales; Pseudonocardiaceae.